Molecule: long non-coding RNA, 380 nt
Filed under: Mytilus galloprovincialis (Mediterranean mussel)
Lineage: Eukaryota; Metazoa; Mollusca; Bivalvia; Mytilida; Mytilidae
Source: RNAcentral
UUUUUUUUUUAUCUUUUAUUUGUUUUUCAAUAGUCAGGAUUUUACAAUACCCCUACAAUCACCACCUGACUAUGGUUUUUGGGGUAAAUAUUGAAAGUUAUAUACAAGACUAUCCAUUUUGUUUUUUUAAAUUUAUCUUCAUAAUACAAGAAUAUAGUUAUUAAAGAAAAAAAAAAGAAUAGCUGCUCACACUCACACUUUCUCUCACUACUUACACACAGUCGCUGCAAUCUUACCAUUUAGUAUGCAUGCAUGUCUAUAUAUAAAGUAAAAAUUCAAAAUACCACUGCUCACUAUAGUAUAAUUUAAAGUAUAAAUGAUAAUAAAUCAUGAAAAAAUUGUAUGUAGUGGGGACCAGAAUCUUUCAUAAGAUGCUGCCC